This 406-nucleotide ribosomal RNA is filed under the name uncultured bacterium. RNAcentral's name for it is "partial 16S ribosomal RNA". It matches the Rfam family "Bacterial small subunit ribosomal RNA", at positions 30 to 526 of the family's 1533-position model. The record is from RNAcentral.
AUUGAACGCUGGCGGCAGGCCUAACACAUGCAAGUCGAACGAGUGGCGGACGGGUGGGUAAUGUCUGGGAAACUGCCCGAUGGAGGGGGAUAACUACUGGACACGGUAGCUAAUACCGCAUACCCUCGGAUGUGCCCAGAUGGGCUUAGCUGGUAGGUGAGGUAACGGCGCACCUAGGCGACGAUCCCUAGCUGGUCUGAGAGGAUGACCAGCCACAAGGGAACUGAGACACGGUCCAGACUCGUACGGUAGGCAGCAGUGGGGAAUAUUGCACAAUGGGCGCAAGCCUGAUGCAGCCAUGCCGCGUGUAUGAAGAAGGCUUUCGGGUUGUAAAGUACUUGCAGCGGGGAGGCGUUACACGCAGAAGAAGCACCGGCUAACUCCGUGCCAGCAGCCGCGGUAAUAC